Molecule: long non-coding RNA, 264 nt
Organism: Lepisosteus oculatus (spotted gar)
Lineage: Eukaryota; Metazoa; Chordata; Actinopteri; Semionotiformes; Lepisosteidae
Source: RefSeq, a predicted model, not a curated record
GUACGGCGUAAUUCAUGCUCUGGCAGCGAUCAAGUCCCAGCCAGCCGAGCACAGCAACAGCCCAGCAACACAGACCAGACGCCUAGAUAUUUAGGUAUUGGAUCCCUCGUUCUGCCUUUGAAAAGGCCACUGAGCUCUGAGACCGGGUCAUGUCGGAAGGAGACUGAACCAGGAUACCCCAAGUGGGUGCACAGAUGGAUGUGCCCCUCCUCCAGUUUGCACUGAUCACUCCUCCCUUUAAAAGCCAGACGCUCCUACCAGUCU